AGAGUUUGAUCCUGGCUCAGGAUGAACGCUGGCGGCGUGCCUAACACAUGCAAGUCGAACGAAGCGCUUUUCCGGAACUCUUCGGAGGGAAAGGGAAGUGACUGAGUGGCGGACGGGUGAGUAACGCGUGGGCAACCUGCCCCAUACAGGGGGAUAACAGCCGGAAACGGCUGCUAAUACCGCAUAAGCGCACGGGACCGCAUGGUUCUGUGUGAAAAACAAUAGUGGUAUGGGAGGGGCCCGCGUCUGAUUAGCCAGUUGGCGGGGUAGAGGCCCACCAAAGCGACGAUCAGUAGCCGGCCUGAGAGGGCGGACGGCCACAUUGGGACUGAGACACGGCCCAAACUCCUACGGGAGGCAGCAGUGGGGGAUAUUGCACAAUGGGGGAAACCCUGAUGCAGCGACGCCGCGUGGACGAAGAAGUAUUUCGGUAUGUAAAGUCCUAUCAGCAGGGAAGAAGAAAUGACGGUACCUGACUAAGAAGCCCCGGCUAACUACGUG
This 501-nucleotide ribosomal RNA is filed under the name uncultured Lachnospiraceae bacterium. RNAcentral describes it as "bacterial SSU rRNA". It matches the Rfam family "Bacterial small subunit ribosomal RNA", at positions 8 to 507 of the family's 1533-position model. Lineage: Bacteria; Bacillati; Bacillota; Clostridia; Lachnospirales; Lachnospiraceae. The record is from RNAcentral.